AUUGAACGCUGGCGGCAGGCCUAACACAUGCAAGUCGAGCGGCAGCGGAAAGUAGCUUGCUACUUUGCCGGCGAGCGGCGGACGGGUGAGUAAUGUCUGGGAAACUGCCUGAUGGAGGGGGAUAACUACUGGAAACGGUAGCUAAUACCGCAUAACGUCGCAAGACCAAAGAGGGGGACCUUCGGGCCUCUUGCCAUCAGAAUUGCCCAGACGGGAUUAGCUAGUAGGUGGGGUAAUGGCUCAACUAGGCGACGAGCCCUAGCUGGUCUGAGAGGAUGACCAGCCACACUGGAACUGAGACACGGUCCAGACUCCUACGGGAGGCAGCAGUGGGGAAUAUUGCACAAUGGGCGCAAGCCUGAUGCAGCCAUGCCGCGUGUAUGAAGAAGGCCUUCGGGUUGUAAAGUACUUUCAGCGGGGAGGAAGGUGUUGAGGUUAAUAACCUCAGCAAUUGACGUUACCCGCAGAAGAAGCACCGGCUAACUCCGUGCCAGCCGCCGCCGUAA
This 506-nucleotide ribosomal RNA is filed under the name uncultured bacterium. RNAcentral's name for it is "partial 16S ribosomal RNA". It matches the Rfam family "Bacterial small subunit ribosomal RNA", at positions 30 to 523 of the family's 1533-position model. The record is from RNAcentral.